RNAcentral lists this ribosomal RNA (452 nucleotides) under uncultured bacterium. RNAcentral describes it as "bacterial SSU rRNA". It matches the Rfam family "Bacterial small subunit ribosomal RNA", at positions 29 to 526 of the family's 1533-position model. The record is from RNAcentral.
AGCGAACGCUGGCGGCAGGCUUAACACAUGCAAGUCGAACGGGCACUUCGGUGCUAGUGGCAGACGGGUGAGUAACGCGUGGGAACGUGCCUUUCGGUUCGGAAUAAUCCAGGGAAACUUGGACUAAUACCGGAUACGCCCUUCGGGGGUAAGAUUUAUCGCCGAAAGAUCGGCCCGCGUCUGAUUAGCUAGUUGGUGAGGUAAAGGCUCACCAAGGCGACGAUCAGUAGCUGGUCUGAGAGGAUGAUCAGCCACAUUGGGACUGAGACACGGCCCAAACUCCUACGGGAGGCAGCAGUGGGGAAUAUUGGACAAUGGGCGCAAGCCUGAUCCAGCCAUGCCGCGUGAGUGAUGAAGGCCUUAGGGUUGUAAAGCUCUUUUGUCCGGGAAGAUAAUGACUGUACCGGAAGAAUAAGCCCCGGCUAACUUCGUGCCAGCCGCCGCGGUAAGAC